RNAcentral lists this unclassified non-coding RNA (653 nucleotides) under Rhizopus microsporus. RNAcentral's name for it is "sequence contains 18S rRNA gene, ITS1, 5.8S rRNA gene, ITS2, 28S rRNA gene". The stretch from base 290 to 442 matches the Rfam family "5.8S ribosomal RNA". Lineage: Eukaryota; Fungi; Mucoromycota; Mucoromycetes; Mucorales; Rhizopodaceae. The record is from RNAcentral.
GUAACAAGGUUUCCGUAGGUGAACCUGCGGAAGGAUCAUUAACUAAUGUAUUGGCACUUUACUGGGAUUUACUUCUCAGUAUUGUUUGCUUCUAUACUGUGAACCUCUGGCGAUGAAGGUCGUAACUGACCUUCGGGAGAGACUCAGGACAUAUAGGCUAUAAUGGGUAGGCCUGUUCUGGGGUUUGAUCGAUGCCAAUCAGGAUUACCUUUCUUCCUUUGGGAAGGAAGGUGCCUGGUACCCUUUACCAUAUACCAUGAAUUCAGAAUUGAAAGUAUAAUAUAAUAACAACUUUUAACAAUGGAUCUCUUGGUUCUCGCAUCGAUGAAGAACGUAGCAAAGUGCGAUAACUAGUGUGAAUUGCAUAUUCGUGAAUCAUCGAGUCUUUGAACGCAGCUUGCACUCUAUGGAUCUUCUAUAGAGUACGCUUGCUUCAGUAUCAUAACCAACCCACACAUAAAAUUUAUUUUAUGUGGUGAUGGACAAGCUCGGUUAAAUUUAAUUAUUAUACCGAUUGUCUAAAAUACAGCCUCUUUGUAAUUUUCAUUAAAUUACGAACUACCUAGCCAUCGUGCUUUUUUGGUCCAACCAAAAAACAUAUAAUCUAGGGGUUCUGCUAGCCAGCAGAUAUUUUAAUGAUCUUAACUAUGAUC